Long non-coding RNA from Panicum hallii, 2268 nucleotides. RefSeq lists it as uncharacterized. The record is from RefSeq and is a predicted model, not a curated record. The transcript has 6 exons. Lineage: Eukaryota; Viridiplantae; Streptophyta; Magnoliopsida; Poales; Poaceae.
GCUAUUGCUUACCCGCCCGCGCGUACCCGCGUUCAUCUUUCCCAUUCUCGCAAAAAUCACGGCUCCUCGAUGACUCGAUCCCAUCUCUUUCCUUCUGCAGAUGCAGCGCCGCCGCUCCAUUUCCCUCCCCAUCCAUCCGCACUGCCGCUCCCAGCCUAGCCCAGCGAGGUGGCGACCCCCUCCCUCCCUUUCCAUGGCAGAUGCAGCGGUGGCAACAGCCCGUCUUGAUGCCUUCCGUCCACGGCGUCCUGCCCCCACGGAGUCGUGGCCGCCGCCGCCGCCGCCGCCGCGCAGAACAUGAAGUCAAGGCGCGCCCCUCCCCUUAAUCGCCUUCGAGCAGGAGAGGUUGGAACCAAAAGAGAUAAGAACAUUCUGGAUGAUCAACCAAUAGAAUCAACAAGCUACUAUACAAGAUUCGAUCCAUACAGAUGUGUGGCUCCUUGGUGUUAAACAUGUUCGGGGUUGCCUUUGGUAGGCUUGAUUUGUGUUACGAGAUGGGAUUUGGUGGCCCCUGGGAUGUUGCUGCUGGAGCUGUGAUCCUUCAGGAAGCUGGAGAUCUUGUUUUAGACCCGUAAGUCAGCAAGUCUGGUCAAACCUGAACCCUGAAACACCUGAUCAUUUCUUAUAUAGCUUGAAGCAAAAUAUAAAUUACUUUGUUGUUGUUGACAAGAUUGGUUUAACCUAUGUUCAUAUAGGAUAUAGCCGAAGUUGAAUUCCUUUUUUUGGCAAUUAAGAUUUGUGUUUAUAGCAUGGUUCUCCUGAAGUUGAUCUUGCAGGCUUGCAGCAUUCCCUUGUUUAUUGACAUCCAGUUCUGCUAAAUUCUAUUCUGGUCAGAAAGCAUAAGCGACCUUAAUGAAAUAUUUUACUGAUGCCAUGUCACUUUGGGAUGCUAUUUUACUGAUGCCAUGUCACUUUGAUGUGCUAUUUUACUGAUGCCAUAUCACUUUGGUAUGCUUGUGAAUAGACUAUACCAGAAAAACCCAUGUAUUUUCCUUUUUGUUUCAAAAUUCUCCUCUUAAACGUUGCCCAUUGUAUAGGAAGAAUUAUCAACGUUACGUGGUAAAGUUGCAUUUUUAGAGGAGGUUGCUAAAUCAUGUCAAGAAAAAGAAACCAAUUACCAUCAGCUUAGUGAUAGGUUAGGAAAGGAAUUGAAGGAUAUCAAAGAUCAUGAUCAACGAAUGAGAUCAAAGGGUUCUAAAAUUAUUUUUGUCAGCAUUGAGAGGAGACAAGGUGGUCCCACUAGCCUUUGCAGAGGGGAUCAAGUGGCUGUCCGGUGGCAGAUUAGAUGUAGCAGCAGCCGGAUGAAUCCUUUGUCAUUUUUUAAAUCCUUAACUUCCAUGAUUCAUUACUGUUUUUACUGAUCCAAUUAUUACUUUGCCCCUGGUGUGACUCAUUAGCAACAAAAAAAAAAUAUGACUAACUCUGAAACAAAUUAGAUGGACCGUCAGUCACCCAGCUUUUGUUCCACUGAUAGUUGGCACCUGCAAAUAAAUUUGUCCUAACUUGUUUUGAUUGGAUCUCAGCAGUGGUUAUGUUGAAAGAGCUCAGAAGAAGUAAGAAAGAGGUGAGCUUAGUUCUGUACAUAUCGAAUUGCAUAAUUGGUAUAAAUCUUUUAUGCACACGAGUCCCACUUAUAAUUUGAUGACUAAUAUAUGUGAAGUGAUUAUGUGCUUCAUUCUUCUGGUUUUCCUGCAACUGGGGAGUCUUCAGCUAAUUAUAUAGUUUCUGGUCUUUAACAAUGGUCUUGAGGAUCUUGUGUCUGUUUUAUCAUUUCAUUAUCCUUGCAGGUAUAAUAUAUCGGUUUUUUAAUACAUGCCUGUAUAUCUGCAUUACAGAUUUCUUGCAGGUUCUUGUGAAACAAGUAGGACAGUGCUUUUUGGUUUCUAGAUGUUUGGUGAAUUGAAACAGAUACUAAAUGUAGUAAUAAGGGAGUAUUCUGACAUGACAGUGGCUGAAUUGUUACUAUAUUUUACUAAACCUUGCUAUUUGCCACAUUGGUUUUGUUCAGAAAUAAAACUGCACUUUGUGUUUGCACUAUAGGCUAUUUUUCUAAAUGUCUCCAGUGGCUUCAAGUUAACAGAGAUGGCAGGAGAUCUGGCCAUAGGCCAUACGCACUAGAUCUUUGUUCAUGAAAGUUGGCUUAAAAGACCUUAAUUUGAUGGUUAACGAAUUUCUUGUGAAUGUGAUUUCUUUUAAACAGGUGCGCAUGCACGUGCACUCUAUUAUAAACAUAAAACAUUUAUUCAAUAUUUUUUAAACACGUGCACC